GAACGCUAGCUACAGGCUUAACACAUGCAAGUCGAGGGGCAGCAUGGUCUUAGCUUGCUAAGGCCGAUGGCGACCGGCGCACGGGUGAGUAACACGUAUCCAACCUGCCGUCUACUCUUGGACAGCCUUCUGAAAGGAAGAUUAAUACAAGAUGGCAUCAUGAGUCCGCAUGUUCACAUGAUUAAAGGUAUUCCGGUAGACGAUGGGGAUGCGUUCCAUUAGAUAGUAGGCGGGGUAACGGCCCACCUAGUCUUCGAUGGAUAGGGGUUCUGAGAGGAAGGUCCCCCACAUUGGAACUGAGACACGGUCCAAACUCCUACGGGAGGCAGCAGUGAGGAAUAUUGGUCAAUGGGCGAGAGCCUGAACCAGCCAAGUAGCGUGAAGGAUGACUGCCCUAUGGGUUGUAAACUUCUUUUAUAAAGGAAUAAAGUCGGGUAUGGAUACCCGUUUGCAUGUACUUUAUGAAUAAGGAUCGGCUAACUCCGUGCCAGCAGCCGCGGUAAUACGGAGGAUCCGAGCGUUAUCCGGAUUUAUUGGGUUUAAAGGGAGCGUAGAUGGAUGUUUAAGUCAGUUGUGAAAGUUUGCGGCUCAACCGUAAAAUUGCAGUUGAUACUGGAUAUCUUGAGUGCAGUUGAGGCAGGCGGAAUUCGUGGUGUAGCGGUGAAAUGCUUAGAUAUCACGAAGAACUCCGAUUGCGAAGGCAGCCUGCUAAGCUGCAACUGACAUUGAGGCUCGAAAGUGUGGGUAUCAAACAGGAUUAGAUACCCUGGUAGUCCACACGGUAAACGAUGAAUACUCGCUGUUUGCGAUAUACUGCAAGCGGCCAAGCGAAAGCGUUAAGUAUUCCACCUGGGGAGUACGCCGGCAACGGUGAAACUCAAAGGAAUUGACGGGGGCCCGCACAAGCGGAGGAACAUGUGGUUUAAUUCGAUGAUACGCGAGGAACCUUACCCGGGCUUAAAUUGCAGAUGAAUUACGGUGAAAGCCGUAAGCCGCAAGGCAUCUGUGAAGGUGCUGCAUGGUUGUCGUCAGCUCGUGCCGUGAGGUGUCGGCUUAAGUGCCAUAACGAGCGCAACCCUUGUUGUCAGUUACUAACAGGUUCCGCUGAGGACUCUGACAAGACUGCCAUCGUAAGAUGUGAGGAAGGUGGGGAUGACGUCAAAUCAGCACGGCCCUUACGUCCGGGGCUACACACGUGUUACAAUGGGGGGUACAGAGGGCCGCUACCACGCGAGUGGAUGCCAAUCCCCAAAACCUCUCUCAGUUCGGACUGGAGUCUGCAACCCGACUCCACGAAGCUGGAUUCGCUAGUAAUCGCGCAUCAGCCACGGCGCGGUGAAUACGUUCCCGGGCCUUGUACACACCGCCCGUCAAGCCAUGGGAGCCGGGGGUACCUGAAGUGCGUAACCGCGAGGAGCGCCCUAGGGUAAAACUGGUGACUGGG
RNAcentral lists this ribosomal RNA (1444 nucleotides) under uncultured organism. RNAcentral describes it as "SSU rRNA". It matches the Rfam family "Bacterial small subunit ribosomal RNA". The record is from RNAcentral.